GGAGUCGGCCGGGUGAUCGCUGCAUUGCGCCCCGAAAGAGGCAAAAUGGAGAGGAAAGUCCGGGCUCCGGCGGACGAGGUGCCAGGUAACGCCUGGGGGGCGUGAGCCCACGGAAAGUGCAACAGAGAGCAGACCGCCCAAGCGCCGGCAACGGCGACGGCAAGGGUGAAAGGGUGCGGUAAGAGCGCACCGCGCCGGUGGCAACACACGGCGGCACGGCAAACCCCACCUGGAGCAAGGCCAAAUAGGGGAAGCAGCGGUCCCGGGCGCAGGCCCUGGACUGCAGCGCGGUCCGUGCGCGCUUCCGGGUAGGCCGCUCGAGGCCCGUGGUGACACGGGUCCUAGAGGAAUGAUUGCCCUCGACAGAACCCGGCUUACAGGCCGACUCCAUCU
RNAcentral lists this RNase P RNA (393 nucleotides) under Gammaproteobacteria bacterium. RNAcentral describes it as "RNase P RNA component class A". It matches the Rfam family "Bacterial RNase P class A". From Rfam's summary of the family: Ribonuclease P (RNase P) is a ubiquitous endoribonuclease, found in archaea, bacteria and eukarya as well as chloroplasts and mitochondria. Lineage: Bacteria; Pseudomonadati; Pseudomonadota; Gammaproteobacteria. The record is from RNAcentral.